Molecule: long non-coding RNA, 245 nt
Filed under: Bos taurus (domestic cattle)
Lineage: Eukaryota; Metazoa; Chordata; Mammalia; Artiodactyla; Bovidae
Description: long non-coding RNA NONBTAT007100
Source: RNAcentral
UAAAAACUGAAAUCCACAGGCAAAAAUCUUAUUACAGUGAAUAAAAAAAUUCUAUCAAACAAGCUGCUGUUUCCCUAAUAAAAGGGUUGCCUACAGGCAACCAUAUUGUUUUAUUUCAGUAACAAACUAACUCCACACACAAUCAGCUCUCUACACCAAAGUACCAAAAAAAUGAUCAACAAAUGUUUCUGAAGAAAACGAAGAUUAUUUCAUUGUUGAAUUCACUUUUUACCUCUGUGAUUUUU